GCUGGGUGUUGGAGCGAUAGGACAGAGGCCAACGCAGUCCAAGGAGAGCGUGUUGAACUACCAGGAAGCCCUGAGACAACAGAGGAACAGGAAACCAAUGACUCAGAUUAGUGACAGACUGCAAUAUUUUGACGGGAAGAGAUCAGGCGAGAGCGAAGUCAGCACUUUUCCAAGAUCCAGGAAAGAAAGGAGCGAUAAAGACAGGAGAGGAGGAAGAGGGAUUGCUACGAUGCCAAGAUCGAGGCAGAAAUGAAGGUCUAUGACCCUUGGGGAAGGGGGAUGUGGGGCCCUUCUCAGAGAUGACAGGGGAAACCUCAUCAGUACACCAUUGUUGAUUUACUCCAUAGUCAUUAGUCCUCUUUAGUUACUCUCUCUGUUCACUUUAUAGUGACUGUAAAACCAAAAUGAUAACUUCUCUGAAUUUUACUAUGACACCUUUGGUUUCAGUCCCUUUGUUAAGUCUAAACCUCUGGGUUAUUUCUCUGUCAACAUCUCUGGCCCUGGUAUGAAGAGGCAUUGUAGCUGAAUCUGUGAGUCACCACUACGUUGAAAGUGUCUCUGUAGCUGAUGACGAUGCCUCCAGGUGAUCUGAACAGAAUGCACAGGACCAAGGAGGAGGAGUACGUGAACCCAGAGUCCAGGGACAGGUGACAGCCACAGGGCUCUGUAGGCAGGAGUGGAGGACCUAACCCCAGGCAGGAGGACUGGGUACCCUCUACCCAGCGAGUAACAGCUGUCCCAGUUUGCCGGAGGCAACGUGUUCAGUGAUCAGGACACUCCACAGCAGCUCCAGGAGCAGGACACGUUCAAGCAGAGAGCCAGAAGGAUCCUUCCCCUCCUAACCCAGACAUGCAGAAGAGACUGGGCAAGCAGCUCCUUACUCCCAGACCUCUCUCUGCUGUCAGCCAGCUCUCCUCUAGGCCCAGGCACUUGACUGUGUCGAACAUCCACAGGCCCAGGCGCUAUAGCUUUAUUCUGACUCCGCUUUCAUCCCUGGAACUAUACACUCACUGUCGGUGUACGGUUGUGAACUUAACAUGCAUAUUUUAUAGUGGUGACUGUGGCGUGUUUUGAGGUGUUGGAUCAUGUUCCAUACUGUUGUGCUGUGCCCAGGUGUAGAGGGCACCCCAAUGGGGACAUGUUUGAGAUGGCACACCACCCAACUCUGGAGUAGCUGCUGUGGCUGUUCACGUCAACAUGCAGAACACCAGGGAGUUCAACCAGCUCAAAUACAGAGGUAUGACAAUGACAGUCUUUAUGCUAUUAAAAACAAUAAACUGUUUUAAGUGAGAAGUAGGCAUCAGCCUGAAGGAAAUUCACAUGAGCAUCACCAUGCCUACUACACCAAUGCUCGACCAAGGUUUUACAGCACACAGCUUUGAAGUCCAGACCCUGGACAUUAAUAACUGGACAUGAAUCUUCUCCCUCCAUUCUUCUCAUUCUCGCCCUCGCCCAGAUCAAAUAUAGAGAUGAAUUGACACCACCAUCCCAUGCAUUUAAAGACCUAUACCCAAUUUAUGAGUCCCUCUUUUCAUUGGCAAUGUCAUAUUUUUCUAGAAGAAUAACUAUGAUCCAUUCCUGUUCAGUUUGGCCGGAUGUGCAGCCCUCAUCAAGCCCCUCUGUCUCCUCUCCUCUUUGCCAUGGCAUUACUCUGAUGAGGUCAUGGGGCGACUCAUCAUUAAAGCCAUCCAUCAGUAACGGACAGUUUGGCAACGUAAACACAGGGCUGAAACUAAGGAAAUUGACUUUGAAUGGAUUCCUAGUACUGAGUUUAUGUUUGGGUCCAGAGAACACUUCCGACACGCAAACAUACAAAAACGGGGUUAGAAAAGUGGGAGAUAUAGAAGGCGUGUGUACACUGCAGGGUGAAGACAACACUGUAUGCCUGUGUGUUGAGUACACUACAGUGAGCGGACACACAUUGCUUUUGCCUGUGAGCAGAUCGUCUCUUGCUUCCAUUACUAUAGCUCACCAGAGGCCUACCUCUUCCUGUCCCUUGCGGAGGAAGAAGUCUUGUCCUCUCUGCUUGUCUAUGUUCCUCCUAGUCCAUCUGUAGCUCAGUGUUUAGACUGCAGAGUAGCUGAGUCACCAUGGCCUUGGCUCAGUCAGUAUUGACUGAUAGAGGAGGGGAGGGGUUGACAAUAGGAUUAGGUCUAGAUGCUCUUCACCCCCAUAUAAGGUCAGUGUCGAUUAUCAAUUUAAUCUUGGCCACAGCUGAACUAGUCCUGUAAGUGCACAUCACUCCCCCCUGGCUUAGCCUCUCAUCAUAAUGAGCGCUGGCCAGAGAGUCCCUCUGAUUGGCUGGUGUGGGAGGAAAUCCACUAUGAUAGGCUAAUCUGGGCCCAUCUGUACCUCUCUGGCAACAUUAGAGCUGUAUCAGUACACAUGACUACCGCAGCACUCACUGCCUGACAUCUGUGUCAUGGUGAGGAUGUGGUAAUCCUCGAUGCAGGGACUGAGUUGUGUGUGUAACAGACAGCACAUCACAUCAGGAGGUGCAUCACGUGUGCCCCCCCCCACCCCACCAGUGACAAACACAGUCUGGACAUCCAGCAGGCUCUGCUCAGGGAGCAACAACGCAAGAUCAGGAUCAUGAGGAGUCAGGUCAGACACACACUGUCUAACUCAUCUAACUUGAUUUUUAUAGGUGUCUGACGGUCUGUGUUGAUCCUCUCAGAGUGAGAAAACAAUCUGAGACCACCAAAGAGUCUCUUUAUUGGAGUCAGAGAGUGCUGUUAUUGGUGAGCCUGCUGGUCAAACAGCCUCAACACGACUUGAGUCAGUGACAGAAAAAUUGUCCCCCUGAGGAUAUGCUUACUGGAAGGAAUGAAUAGUAAUACAUUAUUACACUGAGGUGGAUAUGGGACACACACACACACACACUGCAGCCAACUGAGGGGAGGGAGGGUCAUUGGGCACCCUCUGGGUGCCUGCCAGUGCCAACACGACAUAGGCCAAGCCAUGGCGCCCACACAGCUGGUAGUAGUCCUGACAGAGCAGAAAGCCUGUGCCAGCUGCAGGGUGGUAGUAGCAUGGCCUUGGUCCGGCUGAAGGGGGAGGGAGGAGAGCAGGCAGGGAAUGUGUAUCUGAGAGUCUACCGCACAAUGCAGAAAACACUUUUUUUUUUUUAAAUGAUAUUACUGUAGAAUAACAUGAGAAGAUUGGAUAAAAUAUAAACAUAAUAUACCUCCAAUAUUGCUAUGCCUUAGUAUUUUAGUACGGCGUAGCAUUUUUAUUAGUUAAGGUUAGGAGAAAGAGACAUCAUCCCACCUUGCCUGUUAGGUGAUGUAUUGUAAAUGUGUUACAGUGUUACGUCCUCAGACGUAUGCAGGGUCCCCGUCCCAAGGGCCAGGGCAGCCCAGGUUGACCUGAGGUCCAGACAGCCCUCAGCCCGGGAGAGGAGAAGGCCUGCCAGAAGGAGAGACUUUGAGGAUGAGAAGGGCCUGUUGCUUCAGUUGAGUCAUCAUCACAUAAUUACAGUGCCACUUCAACAGUCCAUUAAUGUCCUCAAUCUGAGAAGGGCCAUGGGGAAACGUGUCUGAUAAUACACAACAGUCCCUCUUUUUUUAGGCAUUAGAAUGUCUUACAGGAUUUAUGAAAAACAAUGGCCAGUACACAUUUUCUCUGUAGUCUGUACUAACCCGUUCUGCUGUACUGACAGAUGUUUCCAUUCUGUGGCCCAGAACAUGGUGACUGCUGGUUGUCAGAGGGAUGACAAGGGCCAACCGGAUGCCUAGUCUCUGUUCUCUGUGACAAGCCUGCACGUGGAGGGGACCGCACGUACAGGCUUGUGAUAGAAUGACAAGGGGGGCUGUCAGCCGAUGAAGGGGAUGACCUCUCACUGCGGUCCACCCCGUACUACCCGGUCAGGCGUGUGUCCAUGGAGACUGUUGGCACAGAGCGCUGGCUACGGCCCAGCACGUCAGACACGCUGAAAUUGUUUGGGGCUGGUCAGAACCGGACAGAAACCCGUUACCCACAUCCUGGAUGGGAAGUGGGAUGGGCCCUCCACCUAACAUGGAUGACCCCUUUCAUCUACACAUAGGAUCCCAUUCCCUUCACAGCUUAUUACUUUUGACUAGAGUUUGAGGUCUAUAUUUUAUAUGCAGUCGAUCCCCAAUACAAAUGACAAAAUUAACAUGGUCUAUUUCUGUGUCUGCAUCAGGAGAGCAAAAAACAUCCAUAUUUGUGUUUUUAUGCAGAAAAACACCUGAAUGUUGCUUAUGCAUGUGCGAAUUGUUUAAUCAGAAACCAGGGCAAACGUCAAAUGGAGAUGAGGUAGUAGCAGAGAUAUUUCAGUCUCUGUGUACAACAGCUCCACGUAGUGAGUAGGAUCAGGGCAGCGUCAGAGAGCGGGGAAAAUCUAAAUUGUAGACUUCUUGCGUCCUCUCUCUUUGCCUCCUUCAAAAGAGAAUGUUUGAGGGGCGGGACAUCUGGCUUUCUCAUCCAAUGGGUUUUGAGAAGGAGACAGGAUGUGAGGAGUGUGCAAUUGAGACGGUCCAAGUCUGCUUGGAUAAGUGUGCAGCUAGUACACAGUGAAGAAUUACUGUCCCUGAGCUGCAUCACUCUCACUGCUGUGUGAUAUGGCUACAGCUGCAGGACUACGGUAUGGAAGAAGUAUAGGCUCUGGUCUGCUGAUGGAAGUAACUAUGGUAACCUUUUGACUGGUUUGGUCUGCUGGUGUAAGCAACUAUGGUAACCUUUUGAAUGUACUUUUGCAGAAUUAAUAUGUAUUUAAAACAUGCGAAAUGUGUAUCUGGUGUUGAAAUGUUUGUAUGUAGCAAGAAAAUGUGUGUUAAUAUACAGUAUAGAAAGAUUUGGGGUAAAAAAUAAAUAAUGUUUUUAUAAUCUU
This is a long non-coding RNA of Oncorhynchus tshawytscha (Chinook salmon), 4852 nucleotides long. The record is from Ensembl. Lineage: Eukaryota; Metazoa; Chordata; Actinopteri; Salmoniformes; Salmonidae.